RNA transcript from Schistocerca piceifrons (Central American locust), 1811 nucleotides. RefSeq lists it as uncharacterized. The record is from RefSeq and is a predicted model, not a curated record. Lineage: Eukaryota; Metazoa; Arthropoda; Insecta; Orthoptera; Acrididae. The transcript has 3 exons.
ACUGGCCGAAAACGAGUCGCAUUGUAGCAACUUCACCUAAAAACAAAGCUUACGCACACAAUUCUGUGGGAGCUGUGACGUUAGCGUUCUGCAGUUGAGCAGUGCUAUCUGUGGUAGAAGCAGUGUUUCAUGUUUGGAAGCGUGGUCACUGCAUUGGUUUGUUUUCGUAGCAAUGACUUGUAACAUUUGUGACGGAAAUCUUGUUCUCACUGUCAUAUGCGAUUCGGAUUGUUAUUGAGCAUCUUGUCAAAAUGCCACGCAAGUGCUGUAUGCCCUAUUGUAGGGGAAACUACGACAACGGUUUAAAGGUUAGCGUCUUAUCAUUCCCGUCUGAUGAAGCAUUAAGAUUGAAACGGAUCGCUGCAGUUCGUAGGAAUGACUGGGGACCCAGUACACAGUUCGUUAUAUGUGAACUGCAUUUCACUGCAGACGUCAUUGUUAAAAUUACCAGUGCUUACGACCCAAAACUGGCAAACUCUUUACAGUUUACAGCACCUUUGGACCGUCCACGUUUAAAGAAACGUUCGUGAAAAUUUGUCGUAAAGGAUGCUGUACCAUCAAAGUUGCCAGGAAGACGUACGUAUUUAUCUUCAAAACAAGCACCAGCUCGAGAAGAUCCAGAGGGUCGCGAACGUUUGGGGAACCAAGCACUUGAGAAAGUCAUUGAGCAGAGUGUGGAAUCACACAAAAAAUGAUGGAGAAGAGUUCAUUUGCUAGUUUAGAAGAUUUUAAAUCAAAAUUAUCUGAUUGUGAAAAGCACAGUGACUGGGUCACGGGUGUUAAAGGAUGCUCCUUAUCUAAGUGUUGUGUGUCAUGUCGUUAUAAAUAGAUUUAGUGUUAAGUGCAUUUGUGAAGGAAGCUGAGCUGAAUUGUGCUGGUAAGAUUAAAUUACCAAACCAAGUAAGUGAUACUGGUACAGUUAGCAAUAUUUUGAAAGAGUUGUAUGUGAUGUUUCAUAUAAAUGAGGCUCCAUUUGAGGCAAGUUUGUCUUGCAUUGAAGACAUUUUGGAAAACUUGUAAGAAAAAUUACCAGAAAGUGAGCAUAAAAUUAAAUUUUUGAAGGAACAAGUUUCGUUUCCAAGAUUUAAUAGUCCAACACAGAUUAGGUACGGGAGUGUUUCAAUGAUUUUAUGGUCAGUCCACAUGCAUAUAGGUUUUUGAGGAGUGCUCGUAAUUUUUCCAUUUCCAGUCCCAGUACUUUGUCAAAACUUUGCAGUAAAAUUCCAACUAACCCAAUCAUUGAGCAUCAGAGUCAGCAGUUUCUCAGUUACAUACCACAAAAAGUUGGUGCUUUAUCUGUGAAUGAUAAAACUGUAAUGUUGAUGGAUCAGAUUUAUUUAAAGUCACAACCUGACUAUAAAGGUGGCAAUGUUGUAGGUGGUGCUUUUAACACAGAUGUGGUUUUGUGUGCAACUAGUGCUUAUGUUUUUAUGAUCCAGAGUAUGGAUUCAGUGUACAAAGAUGUGGUGCAUAUUCUCCCAGUUCACACAAUUCAAUUAAACUAGAAGCAGUGGGAUUUCAGGUAAUAGUAGUAGCUGACAAUAAUGCUAUUAAUAAGAAAGCUAUUUCGUACUUUUCUUCCCCCCCCCCCCUCCCUCCUAGUGUACAGAUAAAAUAUGUUCAUCCUGAGCAGACUUCUGCAGACCGCCCAAUUUACUAUUUUGUAGAUACUGUACACAUUUUAAAAUGUAAAUGGAACAACUGGGAUAAUGAAAAGGACCAAAUUAUAUGCUUUCCUUCUUUUAGUGAUAGCUUGAAGGGAGGUCUUGCUUCUGUUAUAGCACUGAAGGAACUACAUUUACUAGAAAAAG